GGAGGGGCCUGCGUCCGAUUAGGUAGUUGGUGAGGUAAUGGCUCACCAAGCCGAUGAUCGGUAGCUGGUCUGAAGGACGAUCAGCCACACGGGACUGAGAUACGGUCCCGACUCCUACGGGGGGCAGCAGUGAGGAAUAUUGGGCAAUGGACGCAAGUCUGACCCAGCAACGCCGCGUGGAGGAUGAAGGUUCUUGGAUCGUAAACUCCUUUUGCAGGGGAUGGUACCCUGAGAAUAAGUCACGCUAACUACGUGCCAGCAGCCGCGGUAAUACGUAUGACAAGCGUUAUCCGGAUUUAUUGGGCGUAAGCGCACGCAGCGGCAGCUCAAGUCUGACGUGAAUCUCUCGGCUUAACCGGGAGCGUCGUUGGAAACUGAGUGCUUGAGGCGAUGAGAGGGUGUGGAAUCCCGGUGUAGUGUGGAAUGCGUAGAUAUCGGAAGGAACACCAGUGGAUCACAGUGAAUUCGC
Molecule: ribosomal RNA, 469 nt
Filed under: uncultured Chloroflexota bacterium
Lineage: Bacteria; Bacillati; Chloroflexota
Description: bacterial SSU rRNA
Rfam family: Bacterial small subunit ribosomal RNA
Source: RNAcentral